RNAcentral lists this ribosomal RNA (465 nucleotides) under uncultured bacterium. RNAcentral's name for it is "partial 16S ribosomal RNA". It matches the Rfam family "Bacterial small subunit ribosomal RNA", at positions 338 to 795 of the family's 1533-position model. The record is from RNAcentral.
CCUACGGGAGGCAGCAGUGGGGAAUAUUGCGCAAUGGGCGAAAGCCUGACGCAGCGACGCCGCGUGAGGGAUGAAGGUCUUCGGAUCGUAAACCUCUGUCAGCAGGGAAGAACGGUCACUGUGCUAAUCAGCAGUGAAUUGACGGUACCUGCAAAGGAAGCACCGGCUAACUCCGUGCCAGAAGCCGGGGUAAUACGGAGGGUGCGAGCGUUAAGCGGAAUUACUGGGCGUAAAGCGCUCGUAGGCGGGAUGUCAAGUCAAGGGUGAAAUCCCCGCGCUCAACGUGUGAACUGCCUAUGAAACUGGCAAACUGGAGUGUGUGAGAGGAUAGUGGAAUUCCAGGUGUAGGAGUGAAAUCCGUAGAUAUCUGGAGGAACAUCAGUGGCGAAGGCGACUAUCUGGCACAUAACUGACGCUGAGGAGCGAAAGCGUGGGUAGCAAACAGGAUUAGAUACCCCUGUAGUC